CUAUACAUGCAGUCGAGCGAACAGACGAGGAGCUUGCUCCUCUGACGUUAGCGGCGGACGGGUGAGUAACACGUGGAUAACCUACCUAUAAGACUGGGAUAACUUCGGGAAACCGGAGCUAAUACCGGAUAAUAUAUUGAACCGCAUGGUUCAAUAGUGAAAGACGGUUUUGCUGUCACUUAUAGAUGGAUCCGCGCCGCAUUAGCUAGUUGGUAAGGUAACGGCUUACCAAGGCAACGAUGCGUAGCCGACCUGAGAGGGUGAUCGGCCACACUGGAACUGAGACACGGUCCAGACUCCUACGGGAGGCAGCAGUAGGGAAUCUUCCGCAAUGGGCGAAAGCCUGACGGAGCAACGCCGCGUGAGUGAUGAAGGUCUUCGGAUCGUAAAACUCUGUUAUUAGGGAAGAACAAAUGUGUAAGUAACUAUGCACGUCUUGACGGUACCUAAUCAGAAAGCCACGGCUAACUACGUGCCAGCAGCGGCCGGGUAAUA
This 495-nucleotide ribosomal RNA is filed under the name Staphylococcus epidermidis. Its description in RNAcentral is "bacterial SSU rRNA". It matches the Rfam family "Bacterial small subunit ribosomal RNA", at positions 49 to 525 of the family's 1533-position model. Lineage: Bacteria; Bacillati; Bacillota; Bacilli; Caryophanales; Staphylococcaceae. The record is from RNAcentral.